GUUCACACUCAUACUUCCUAGCUGAUACUGGCUGAUCUCAAAAAACUAAACCAGGUUAGGCCUGGUUAGUACUUGGGUGGGAGGCCACCAGGAAAUCCUUGGGAUGGAGGCUAAACU
This 117-nucleotide ribosomal RNA is filed under the name Salvator merianae (Argentine black and white tegu). Lineage: Eukaryota; Metazoa; Chordata; Lepidosauria; Squamata; Teiidae. The record is from RNAcentral.